AGGAUGAACGCUGGCGGCGUGCCUAACACAUGCAAGUCGAACGUCCUGUCUCGCAAGAGGCAGGGAGUGGCGGACGGGUGAGUACCACGUGGGUUAUCUACCGUGAGGUGAGGAAUACCGGCGAGAAAUCGCCGACAAGACCGCAUAGCCUCGGUGCAAGCCGAGGAAAGCUUUCUCGAGAGAGGGAGCGCCACACGAGGAGCCUGCGCCCGAUUAGCUAGCUGGUGGAGUAACGGUUCACCAGGGCGACGAUCGGUAGCUGGUCUGAGAGGACGAUCAGCCACACUGGGAUUGAGAACGGCCCAGACUCCUACGGGGGGCAGCAGUGAGGAAUUUUCGUCAAUGGGGGCAACCCUGAACGAGCAACGCCGCGUGCAGGAGAAGGUUUCGGAUCGUAAACUGCUUUUCUCGGGGUAAGAGAACGGACGGUACCCGAGGAAUCAGCCCCGGCUAACUACGCGCCAGCAGCCGC
Molecule: ribosomal RNA, 472 nt
Filed under: uncultured bacterium
Lineage: Bacteria
Description: SSU rRNA
Rfam family: Bacterial small subunit ribosomal RNA
Source: RNAcentral